GCCUCGGUGGCUCCGAGGGGAGAGCGCCGGCCCACGGAUCCCGAUGUGGCGGGUUCGAAUCCCGGCCGAGGUG
Ixodes scapularis (black-legged tick) is the source of this 73-nucleotide non-coding RNA. NCBI's taxonomy places the organism in Eukaryota, Metazoa, Arthropoda, Arachnida, Ixodida, Ixodidae. The record is from Rfam.